This 324-nucleotide ribosomal RNA is filed under the name Triticum aestivum (bread wheat). RNAcentral's name for it is "partial small subunit ribosomal RNA". Lineage: Eukaryota; Viridiplantae; Streptophyta; Magnoliopsida; Poales; Poaceae. The record is from RNAcentral.
AUGAAUCUGUUGGCCUGAAACUGUCGAGGAUUGGGGUUGGACUCGACAGUGGGUGAAUUGUGAGACCUGGUACGGUCCUACAACCCAACAGUGGUGUUUCUUUGUGAGACUAAGAAAAAAGCGAAGGCGAUGGAGAGGCUAAAGUGGAGCUUGGGAUUCAGGAACGGUGUAGCGGUGGACUGCGUGGGAAAGAGUGGUGGUCUAGCACUAUGGUGGCGUGAUCAUGUGCAAGUUACUGUCCGGCCAUGGUGCCAAUAUUUUCUGGAUGCGGAGGUGGUAGUUGAAGGGAAAACCUGGGACGCACUAUGGUAUUUGCGUGCAUAG